UGGGGAAUAUUGCACAAUGGGGGAAACCCUGAUGCAGCGACGCCGCGUGAACGAAGAAGGUAUUCGUAUCGUAAAGUUCUGUCCUAUGGGAAGAUAAUGACAGUACCAUAGAAGAAAGCUCCGGCUAAAUACGUGCCAGCAGCCGCGGUAAUACGUAUGGAGCGAGCGUUGUCCGGAAUUAUUGGGCGUAAAGGGUACGCAGGCGGUUUAAUAAGUCGAAUGUUAAAGAUCGGGGCUCAACCCCGCAAAGCAUUGGAAACUGAUAAACUUGAGUAGUGGAGAGGAAAGUGGAAUUCCUAGUGUAGUGGUGAAAUACGUAGAUAUUAGGAGGAAGGCCAGGAGCGAAGGCGACUUUCUGGACACAAACUGACGCUGAGGUACGAAAGCGUGGGGAGCAAACAGG
Molecule: ribosomal RNA, 403 nt
Filed under: bacterium
Lineage: Bacteria
Description: partial 16S ribosomal RNA
Rfam family: Bacterial small subunit ribosomal RNA
Source: RNAcentral